AAUUCCGAGGCUAGCAAUGACGCAAAAGCAGAAACCACCGACGAUAGUCCAAUAAACAAGGCAUAUUCAAUGUUACUUGAAGACUUAAAAAGGAAAUUCAAUUAUUUAAAUAAUAAAUUAAGAAAGAUAUAGUUAUUCUAAUUCAAUUGGAAGUUAUUUAUGGAUGGCGCGUAUAUAUAAUGAAGAAGAUGACGAAUACUGACCAAUACAAUCGUAACACCUCAUUCAGUUUCACCAUUCCAGUUUUUGUUCUUGUUCUCUAUACACCUCACUCUAACUCGUCUUCUUGACUCGUUCGAGUUAGGGUGCUUUCUCAUUCGUCAAACCCUCAAUUCUUCAGCUAGCCUUUUUUGCACUGCUCCAAUAUAUUUAAUUUUCCUGCAAAAGCAAAGGACACAUCAGAAUGAAGGCAUUGAUUCUGGUUGGAGGGUUUGGAACAAGGUUGAGGCCAUUGACACUUAGUGUUCCCAAGCCUCUUGUUGAUUUUGCUAACAAGCCCAUGAUUCUGCAUCAGAUAGAGGCUCUUAAGGACAUUGGAGUUACUGAAGUGGUGCUGGCUAUCAAUUACCAACCAGAGGUGAUGUUGAAUUUCUUGAAGGACUUUGAGGAAAAGCUUGACAUCAAAAUCACUUGCUCUCAAGAGACUGAACCAUUGGGGACUGCAGGUCCCUUGGCUCUUGCCAGAGAUAAGCUGAUUGAUGGCUCUGGUGAGCCAUUUUUCGUUCUCAACAGCGAUGUUAUCAGCGAGUAUCCACUUAAAGAAAUGAUAAAAUUCCACAAAUCUCAUGGAGGAGAAGCUUCCAUAAUGGUGACAAAGGUUGAUGAGCCAUCAAAAUAUGGUGUAGUUGUUAUGGAAGAGACUACCGGGCAGGUUGAGAAAUUUGUGGAGAAACCCAAGUUGUUUGUUGGCAACAAAAUCAAUGCUGGGAUCUACCUAUUGAACCCCUCAGUUUUGGAUCAUAUUGAACUGAGACCCACUUCUAUUGAGAAAGAGGUGUUUCCAAAGAUUGCAGCAAACAAAAAGCUAUAUGCAAUGGUUCUGCCUGGAUUCUGGAUGGACAUUGGACAGCCAAGGGACUAUAUCACAGGCCUGAGACUCUACCUGGACUCAUUGAGGAAGAAGACUUCUUCCAAGUUGGCCAGUGGCCCUCACAUUUUGGGGAAUGUGAUUGUGCAUGAGACAGCUAAAAUUGGCGAGGGAUGUCUCAUUGGACCUGAUGUUGCAAUUGGUCCUGGCUGUACUAUUGAGUCAGGUGUCAGGCUUUCAUGCUGCACUGUAAUGCGAGGAGUUCGGAUUAAGAAGCAUGCUUGCAUAUCCAGCAGCAUCAUCGGAUGGCAUUCAACUGUUGGUCAAUGGGCACGUGUGGAGAAUAUGACUAUCCUUGGAGAAGAUGUCCAUGUAUCUGAUGAAGUUUACAGCAAUGGUGGUGUGGUUUUGCCCCACAAGGAAAUCAAAACAAGCAUUCUGAAUCCGGAGAUAGUCAUGUGAGGCUACUGCCUUCCAAAUUCUUAGCGUGUGGUGCGUUUUGGAGGUAGUAAGUUCUCGAGUCUGAAAUGAAAUAUGUAUUCAUUUCAUUUGGUUUCCUUUUAUUAUUAAUUGCAAUCCUCCUUCCCUGCACAUUGUACAAGUCAGUUUCGUUAAGAAUGAGUGAUGCCAUAAUUUAUAAAGUUGAAAGGUCAGUGUCUAUGUAAAGAGUUGGUCUUUUGUUCCAAAGUUGUGUAAUUUUAAGUGUUAUGUACAGAAUUUUCUUAUUAUUUGAGGUCACAAAUUGGGAUUCUGACAGGUAAAUUUCCUUUUAGUGGAGCCGAUCGAGUGUUCACAUUUCUGUAAUUCUAUCGCUUUAUAUUUCGCUAGCGUUGGACCGCUGUGUGAUGUAGAUAUCGUUAUUAUCUUAAUAGAAAUUGAAAAAUCCGGGUGUGA
RNA transcript from Medicago truncatula (barrel medic), 1921 nucleotides. It is a transcript of the gene named mannose-1-phosphate guanylyltransferase 1-like, with no coding region annotated. The record is from RefSeq and is a predicted model, not a curated record. The transcript has 5 exons. Lineage: Eukaryota; Viridiplantae; Streptophyta; Magnoliopsida; Fabales; Fabaceae.